Molecule: long non-coding RNA, 375 nt
Filed under: Citrus sinensis (sweet orange)
Lineage: Eukaryota; Viridiplantae; Streptophyta; Magnoliopsida; Sapindales; Rutaceae
Description: long non-coding RNA (CSIN_LNC002626)
Source: RNAcentral
UACGGGCACUGUUUGGUAGCGGGGAUAAAGAAGUACCCGGGCAAGGUCAUCCGCAAGGACUCGGCGAAGAAGACAGCGAAGAAGUCACGCGUCAAGGCCUUCGUCAAGUUGGUCAACUACCAGCACCUGAUGCCCACGCGCUACACUCUCGACGUCGAUUUGAAGGACGUCGUGUCGGCCGAUUCCCUCCAGAGCAAGGACAAGAAGGUGACCGCUUGCAAGGAGACCAAGAAGCGCCUCGAGGAGAGGUUUAAGACUGGCAAGAAUCGUUGGUUCUUUACUAAGCUCAGGUUUUAGAUUUUUAACCAAAGGAAGAAAACGACUUGUGUUUUUGUUUUGUUUUAUUUUGUGUUAUUGAAAACGCUUUAGUUGUUA